Molecule: non-coding RNA, 103 nt
Organism: Rhodocollybia butyracea
Lineage: Eukaryota; Fungi; Basidiomycota; Agaricomycetes; Agaricales; Omphalotaceae
Source: the annotation of a GenBank genome assembly
GCCUCCUUAGCUCAGUGGUAGAGCGUUGCACUUGUAUAGGAGUCUUGUAAGUUGACAUCAUUUACAAUGCAAAGGCGCAGUCGUUCAAUUCGACUAGGAGGCA